UGGCACGAAUGAUGAUUCAAUUAGAUGUGUUAAAGGAGAAUUCCUUUAUGAACUCACUUAUUGAGGCAUAUGUAAUUGUCUGACUUAUUGCCA
This is a small nucleolar RNA of Carya illinoinensis, 93 nucleotides long. RefSeq annotates it as small nucleolar RNA Z266. The record is from RefSeq and is a predicted model, not a curated record. Lineage: Eukaryota; Viridiplantae; Streptophyta; Magnoliopsida; Fagales; Juglandaceae. The transcript has a single exon.